Molecule: long non-coding RNA, 1120 nt
Organism: Chelmon rostratus (copperband butterflyfish)
Lineage: Eukaryota; Metazoa; Chordata; Actinopteri; Chaetodontiformes; Chaetodontidae
Exons: 4
Source: RefSeq, a predicted model, not a curated record
GUUUAUUGUCUGUCUCUCUCUGUGUGCGUGAGUGUUUGUAGGGCAAGGAAGGGGAAGGACAGCUGUCAAGACUGAUCAGAGGCAGUGAGCGGUGAGAUACAGGAAGUAGCCCCGCUCUAAUCUGGUUAAGAUCUGUUGGAUCCAGAUUGAUGCUCCCUUCUCUCAGAGGAAGAAAAAACAGGCCCAUAAACGUGGGCGGCGGGUCACAAUGCUCCUCUGUGCCCCCUGACGUAUGGCAUCCUGGCACUGAUGUGCCCUGGAAAAUUCUCAGGAUGAAUAGCCGUGCCAGGGACCUUCAAACCCUCCAGACCCCGGCAUGGCGUCCUCUGGGGCUCAUGCUUGAUUGUCCGGGACUCAGCUUAACAAAAUACUGAAAGAGGGACAGCUCUAAGGACAGACCAUGAGAAAAGGGAGAGUGAACAAACAGUGGUCUGAUUGAGCAGCGGGAGGACCGGAGCCUUUUGGAUCGCCCUGGUUACUGGGAAUAACAGCCACGAGUUACAUCAGCUUUCCACCUUAACAAAGAGUAAAGUUGGGCGCCUCUAAUAGGAAAGUCUUAGUGAGUGUUAUCCUAGAAAAAGAAGGGCGGAGGGGAUGAGAAAAUAAAAUAAAACAGAGGCCAUUUGGACAUUUUAAAGCUGCAACAAAUCCAAUCCCAUAUGCCCUUUUCUAUAAAAGUGCGUGUAGUGAGUGUAGUCUAAACACUGUAUUCUCAUCUUGGGUGGUUACUCUCAUAUGGGCGGGGGAAUGCUUGAUAACAGUGCAGCUUUAAUUUAGCAAGCAGCAAGCAGGGUGUUUUUUCUAUACUAUGCUUGUAAUCUCAUCCAUGAAGCUAUGUUGCAUUGUUAAGAGGCAGCACCCCUGCAUGUUAAAUGGCCUUUGUUUGUAAUCAAUCAGCCCAAAUGUAACGGAAGCAAAGCAGGGUUCAUUACACAUCCGGCUCAGAGAAACGACACCACUCCACACAUCCAUCAGCCUCACACGCUGCGGGUCCCUGCAGCAUAACACUGGCUGGUUGAGAACGGCUCACACACGAAAAAAUGCAAACACACUCACGCAUAUACAAAUAUGGACAAAUGCACACGUCCACACACUCGCACAUUUGUCUGUGACCUACGAU